GGCCAGGCUGUCUCCACCCGAGACUCAGUGAAAUUGAACUCGCUGUGAAGAUGCAGUGUACCCGCGGCAAGACGGAAAGACCCCGUGAACCUUUACUAUAGCUUGACACUGAACAUUGAGCCUUGAUGUGUAGGAUAGGUGGGAGGCUUUGAAGUGUGGACGCCAGUCUGCAUGGAGCCGACCUUGAAAUACCACCCUUUAAUGUUUGAUGUUCUAACGUUGACCCGUAAUCCGGGUUGCGGACAGUGUCUGGUGGGUAGUUUGACUGGGGCGGUCUCCUCCUAAAGAGUAACGGAGGAGCACGAAGGUUGGCUAAUCCUGGUCGGACAUCAGGAGGUUAGUGCAAUGGCAUAAGCCAGCUUGACUGCGAGCGUGACGGCGCGAGCAGGUGCGAAAGCAGGUCAUAGUGAUCCGGUGGUUCUGAAUGGAAGGGCCAUCGCUCAACGGAUAAAAGGUACUCCGGGGAUAACAGGCUGAUACCGCCCAAGAGUUCAUAUCGACGGCGGUGUUUGGCACCUCGAUGUCGGCUCAUCACAUCCUGGGGCUGAAGUAGGUCCCAAGGGUAUGGCUGUUCGCCAUUUAAAGUGGUACGCGAGCUGGGUUUAGAACGUCGUGAGACAGUUCGGUCCCUAUCUGCCGUGGGCGCUGGAGAACUGAGGGGGGCUGCUCCUAGUACGAGAGGACCGGAGUGGACGCAUCACUGGUGUUCGGGUUGUCAUGCCAAUGGCACUGCCCGGUAGCUAAAUGCGGAAGAGAUAAGUGCUGAAAGCAUCUAAGCACGAAACUUGCCCCGAGAUGAGUUCUCCCUGACUCCUUGAGAGUCCUGAAGGAACGUUGAAGACGACGACGUUGAUAGGCCGGGUGUGUAAGCGCAGCGAUGCGU
This 883-nucleotide ribosomal RNA is filed under the name Escherichia coli. RNAcentral describes it as "partial 23S ribosomal RNA". It matches the Rfam family "Bacterial large subunit ribosomal RNA", at positions 2009 to 2886 of the family's 2925-position model. Lineage: Bacteria; Pseudomonadati; Pseudomonadota; Gammaproteobacteria; Enterobacterales; Enterobacteriaceae. The record is from RNAcentral.